CCUAUGGGUGGCAGCAGUGAGGAAUAUUGGUCAAUGGGAGGAAUCCUGAACCAGCCAUGCCGCGUGCAGGACGACGGCUCUACGAGUUGUAAACUGCUUUUGUACCGGGGUAAAAUGCUCUACGAGUAGGGUUUUGAAAGUACGGUACGAAUAAGGAUCGGCUAACUCCGUGCCAGCAGCCGCGGUAAUACGGAGGAUCCGAGCGUUAUCCGGAUUUAUUGGGUUUAAAGGGUGCGUAGGCGGUAUUUUAAGUUAGUGGUAAAACGUCGGGGCUUCACCUUGAUUGGCCAUUAAAACUGGAGUACUAGAGUACAGACGAGGUAGGCGGAAUAAGUUAAGUAGCGGUGAAAUGCUUAGAUAUAACUUAGAACCCCGAUAGCGAAGGCAGCUUACCAGACUGUUACUGACGCUGAAGCACGAGAGCGUGGGUAGCGAACAGGAUUAGAUACCCCAGUAGUC
This 459-nucleotide ribosomal RNA is filed under the name uncultured bacterium. RNAcentral's name for it is "partial 16S ribosomal RNA". It matches the Rfam family "Bacterial small subunit ribosomal RNA", at positions 338 to 795 of the family's 1533-position model. The record is from RNAcentral.